Long non-coding RNA from Prinia subflava (tawny-flanked prinia), 4793 nucleotides. RefSeq lists it as uncharacterized. The transcript has 2 exons. NCBI's taxonomy places the organism in Eukaryota, Metazoa, Chordata, Aves, Passeriformes, Cisticolidae. The record is from RefSeq and is a predicted model, not a curated record.
GCAGCCCCUUCAAAACCAAGCUGUGUGCCCGGGCUGUGCCCCCCGCCGAGCUCCUGCACGAGCCCCGCUCCUGCGGCCCUGCGCUGCUGGCCCUGCCUGCCACGGGUCAAGAUGGCCCAGCUAUGGCUGCCUACUUGAGGAGGGCAUAUGCAAAUAAGACGAACACACAGCAUGCUGGGAGAGAGUUCUUUGGGGAUGAAAGGCACCCCAAAAUGGAAGACUGGACACGGUGAAAGAUCCAGGCGAUGCUCUAGCCGAGGAAGGAGUGGACGCACCCCCUGACCUGGUUUGAGAACUCGCCAUGAUCUAUUAAGAGUCUGACGGGCAUGGGAACCAGGCCAGCUCGAGGGGUCAGAGACAGAGAGCGAGGUACUCUCAAGGGUUUUUCAUGAGGGUAAAGAGCUGACAUCUGCUGCUUUGCACUUCAGUGACAGAUCUCCACAACUCUGCUGUUGGAUGGUUGACCAGAGAGAGCUUCUAGCUGUUCCCAUGGGAACAAGGACUUGGCACCUACUGUUUGCAGCUGAGUGAUGAACUGGGACAGUACCUGUUCCUCCGGAUUGCUACAGCAGUGUGAAAAACUCCUGUCGGACUCUACCACCCAGCUGAUCACUUUAAUAAAGAGCUGAAUAUUAAUAAAGGCAUAAGCCCUGUGCAUUUCACCCAGACACAGAGUGAUAAAGCCAAGGAGCCAGGCAGCAGCCAUGUGCACUGAUGCUGGAGAAGGAAGGAAGCUGCUGCUGCAGUGAGGCCCCUGCAGUCAUGGGUAACAAACUCAUGAUGCUUCAGGCUGCAGUGGGGCAGUGUCCCCACCCAGACUGGCACAUGGGGGCUGGUGACUCACUGCCUGGCCACUGGCCUCAGGCACAGGCUGGGCAGCAGCUGCACUGCGCUGGAGGUGCACUGGGCUGCAGAUUCAGCCAGCUUGUCACAGCAGAGGAGUCUGUCCAUAGCUCCACGUGCCAACUCCACUGCCUUGUCCUUAUUCUGAAGAACACCAUGUUCUGUAUAAAGAUCCUUUUUCUUGGCAGUGGAAAUGAUGAACAGUUCCUUACUUCUAGGAAAAUCCCACAAAAACUGUAAUGCCCAUGCUGCCAGUUACCCUGGGCAGUCUGCACAGGGGUGCCAUAUCUGGGGUCUGCCUGAUGCUACAGAUGAUCUGGGCUGCUCCAUUUCUUUCUAUUAUCUCCAGUGAAUAUUUUCAUCCAUACCUUAUGGAGCUGAGGGCCUUUCCUACUGGAGUCUAUGGAGAACAUGUGCACAUGUGCACCACAUCUGGUGUAUUUUUCAGCACACAUGGUAUUUUGAACUUUCACAUCAACCCUUUUGAAAAAUCAGUCCAAGGUGCUGUUCUCCCAGGCUCUGGAAACAGACACUAGGCUUUCUUCAUCACCCUAGUUAUUCCUGAACCAGCAGCAGCUGCAUCAUGAGACCACACCUCAGGAGCAUGAAAGCUCUUAAUUCUGGAAAAAUCAGUAAACAGGUUUGGGAAACAUUGGCACAGACAGGAACACACACAAAGAAUGUACAAGAAACACAGUAAUCUUUUUGCAAUUCUUGAGUUUAUUACUUCAGCAUGUGGGCUGUUUUUGUUACUCAGUCUUCCCCUUUCCAUUGCUAUCUUUCUUAGGAAAGGUGCACAAAUACUUUUCCUGGACCUGUACAUAAACCAGACACACAGAUGCACAAACUUUUUUUUUUUUUUUCAAUUUUCUUAAGCCUUGGUUUCUUAACUUCUUAAGAGAGAAAGUGUAUUAAAAACUCAUGAUGCACUCAGACCCAAUAUCUGACAGUGAGCUGCGCUGAGGGGAGAGGACUCUGAGACAGAGGAAUAUGACACUAAUCCAUAACAGAAAUUACAGUUCAACCAGCACAGGGAGUCAGAGGCACAGAUCAACCUCCCAAAGAAUUCUGUUGUCUGCAUGAUGCUGUCAAAAAGCACACCAGAAAAUCCUGGUUUUCACUGAUUCACUCUUGGCAAAACUGUGGCCUUUGGGAAGGAAUUAACAAACCAAACCUGACCUGGGACAGAUGCAACAUGCUUACCUCCCCCUCUCCCUUCAGCUCAUGAAAACUUGAGACUAUUCAGCCCUUGGCCUCAACAAGUCAGUAAGACUGUGAAGGCUUGAAUAAGACAAACUUGACAAAAGUCAACUCAAAAGAUGGAAACGAGAAGGGUCACAAGGUAAGAACAGGUACAGAAGCACAGAAAUAAAAUGACACUGAAGGUGUUACACACUCAGGAACAGGACCUUCCUCUGCAACUCAGAGAUUUGACAGUGAAGCACAAAUCCAAUCAAGUUGGGCCAGCAUAGGUAACAUGCAUUAUCUAGCAGGCUUCAGAAUAUCUACCUUGGAUUCUCAAAUAUAAAAGAGCUCAGCACUUAUUAGUUCAGGAACAUAGUUCAGGAACAUUAGAGAGAACAAAGCCUGCAGGUAGCCUGAAUUCCUAAAACUGGAAAAAAAUUAAAGUAACUGUGCUGGUAGAAAAUAUCAGGUGAUAUUAUCCAAGGGGGUUUCUACCUGCAUCCAGGCCUCUUGUAGCCCCAGAAGUUUGCUGUCACUUCAGCACACAGCAGGUUUGUGUGGGCUGGUGAAGCUGUGACAUGCUUGGUACUAGCACACAACUUGCUACUCCACUGACACUGGGGCUGGUCUCCACAGUGCAGCUGCUCAGAGAACUUGGGAAACAGUGCCAAAAGAAACUUUGGGGAAAGACUCUUUGGUGAAGUAGACGCUAGUUUAUGUAAUUCAUUGUCAAAAGACUCAGAUGCAUCAGGAUUAAUUUGGCUUUAAGAAUCCAUGGGAAGAAACUGCAGCAUGAAACCUGAUGUCCAUUCAGGGGCAGGGAACAAUAGCUGCUACCAGCACAGAGAUACCUUAAUGUGACACCCUGUGUCAGUGCAAGGCACCCCAGGGCUCCCCUUCUCAUUUUAGGGACAGCUGCUGGCAUUUGCUUAACAUGAAUCAGUCCUACUGACCAUCUCCAAGGACACACAACCUGUGAACUAAGGGCAGGUUACCCCAGAACUGCCAUGCAAAGUGCAUGAGAAAUCAGCGCUACACAGGGAGGCAAGCACUUCCUACCACAACUCCUACAAUCCAGGGCAAUGGAUGUAUGACAGCAUGUUAAAAAAUAAUACUCCACAGUUAAAUGUCAUUUUCCAUAGGAAAAAUGUUCCCUAUACCUAGGAACAAAUCUAGGAGUAGGAAAGUAAUCUAAGCAAAUGCAAACAAUUGCAGCCAGUAACUAUCAAAAAAGAAAUCUCAAAUUAAAAACAAAAUUUAAAAACAAUUCCAAACAGUAGUGUCAUGGGUUAACACUGGCCAGAUGUUAAUGCACUCAUGAAUAUAUGUUUUUUCUCUAACAACUACUGUGGGAUGUGAUCAGGAACAGAGCAGAGCAGGCUUAAAUCUUGAAACAAAAACACCCAAAACUUUAUUACAUUACAUAAGAAGAGACAGAAAACUCUUAAACACACACAGAGACAGAAAUAAAAACUUCUCAGAACAUUUCUUCUCUCAGUUUCAACUCUCCACACAUUACUCUUCACAGACCAAACCUUUGGGUUUUAAAUUAAACAAUCACUACUCAAAAAAAACCAAUCUUCAAUUCAGCAAGGGAGAGAGGAGUCUCUCCUGCACCACAGACUGUUCUUCAGAAAACACAGGUCCACCCCUUAUGUGUUUCUAUGUCACCCGUGGCACCGCCCGGAGAAGUCUGCUAGGGUGACACUCUCUUAUGUCUAGCGCUCUCACUGCUGUCUAUAGGCUGAAGCUGUAUAUAGGGCUCUUUUAAGGAUGCUUGCAUGCCAAGCUCUCCCCAUUUUUCCCCUUGGGGCCGAGGGUUUCAAGAGCAGGUCUCCCCUGAGGGCAGAGGGCGCCACUACACCCUCCCCCUCUCUUCUCUGCUCGCUCUACUCUUAAAGUGCCAGUCACUGUAGCAAAAGCAAAGGCAGCUGCACCUACCUAAAUGCAGUUUAUGUUUAAAAGAGACUUAAGUUCAGUCCAUGGCUAACAUUAUACAAGAAAAGUCCAGCUCAAAAGCUACUCCUCUUCAAUCUCUGCCCAUCUGGGUUUUUUCAUCUUCUUUUAUCAUCUCGGUCCCAGGCUGUUUCUCUCUCUCUCUCUUCUGAAACUACUAGUCAUGAGAAUUAAUGUCUAAGAAAAGUUUCUUUCUGCCAAGAAAAAGGUUAAGAGUUUCUAGCUCUCGGCAGGGCUGCAGGCUCAGGCACUCCCAGGCUGGGCAACUCCCACGUGGCUGGGCACUUUCUCCCGGGGGGGGGGGGAAGGGUGAGCACACAUGGAAAGCACUUCUACAGUUUUCUACUCCUCCAUCCUGGAUGGGGCCAGCUCAGCUCAAAGCUUGUUCACUCUCUUCCCCUUGGAGCUCCAGUUCACCUCAGCUCAGUUGCAUAGUUCUCUUCUAGCUCAGCUACGUGGUUCCCCUCCCCCACCCAGCCUUGAAAGCCAGGCAGGGGAGGUGUUGCCCCGCUGAAGCCGAGAUCCAAAAAGAGGCCGAACCCCCCUGGAGUCCUGCUUUUAACUCCUUGUGUCUUCAGAGGCGUGUCCAAACCUCUGAGUGACUAAUCUAAGUGCCAGCAGAAAAGCUGAUUACUGAUUAGCCCGCCCACAUCCCCCUGGAAAAAUUCACCUCCCCCCGCAACUACGACAAGUAGGCAAGCCACCUAUUGAAACAGGCUCUCCAAACAGUAAAACCAAGGUUUAAAACAUUACAUACCACAUUACUAUUCAGCUAAUAAAAACAAACACCACCCCCCAACAAAAAAAAA